This 500-nucleotide ribosomal RNA is filed under the name Vibrio sp. ZXM123. RNAcentral's name for it is "bacterial SSU rRNA". It matches the Rfam family "Bacterial small subunit ribosomal RNA", at positions 95 to 591 of the family's 1533-position model. The record is from RNAcentral. Lineage: Bacteria; Pseudomonadati; Pseudomonadota; Gammaproteobacteria; Vibrionales; Vibrionaceae.
GCGGCGGACGGGUGAGUAAUGCCUGGGAAAUUGCCCUGAUGUGGGGGAUAACCAUUGGAAACGAUGGCUAAUACCGCAUAACGUCUACGGACCAAAGAGGGGGACCUUCGGGCCUCUCGCUUCAGGAUAUGCCCAGGUGGGAUUAGCUAGUUGGUGAGGUAAUGGCUCACCAAGGCGACGAUCCCUAGCUGGUCUGAGAGGAUGAUCAGCCACACUGGAACUGAGACACGGUCCAGACUCCUACGGGAGGCAGCAGUGGGGAAUAUUGCACAAUGGGCGCAAGCCUGAUGCAGCCAUGCCGCGUGUAUGAAGAAGGCCUUCGGGUUGUAAAGUACUUUCAGUCGUGAGGAAGGCGUUGAAGUUAAUAGCUUCGUCGUUUGACGUUAGCGACAGAAGAAGCACCGGCUAACUCCGUGCCAGCAGCCGCGGUAAUACGGAGGGUGCGAGCGUUAAUCGGAAUUACUGGGCGUAAAGCGCAUGCAGGUGGUUUGUUAAGUCAG